RNAcentral lists this unclassified non-coding RNA (193 nucleotides) under uncultured Archaeosporaceae. RNAcentral describes it as "sequence contains ITS2". Lineage: Eukaryota; Fungi; Glomeromycota; Glomeromycetes; Archaeosporales; Archaeosporaceae. The record is from RNAcentral.
AAAGAAAUCUUUAAUCUCUUUUGAGAUUAAGGGAUAUGGGUAUUCCGCUAACAAUUUUGUGGCGGUAACCUGAAAUAGAUGGUAGUCUUCAUCUAGUCAAGACGCGUAAUAAUAUUAUUUCGUGAAACGAUUAAUGAGCUAUCCAGUUUUAAUGGCUUUAUUAAUAUAAGGACAUUGAAACAAAUAAUUUUUG